Molecule: unclassified non-coding RNA, 312 nt
Filed under: plant metagenome
Description: partial contains 5.8S ribosomal RNA, internal transcribed spacer 2, and large subunit ribosomal RNA
Rfam family: 5.8S ribosomal RNA (bases 1-105)
Source: RNAcentral
GAAAUGCGAUAAGUAAUGUGAAUUGCAGAAUUCCGUGAAUCAUCGAAUCUUUGAACGCACAUUGCGCCCUCUGGCAUUCCGGGGGGCAUGCCUGUCCGAGCGUCAUUACGCACCCUCAAGCCCGGCUUGUGUGAUGGGCCCUGGCGUCUCGUUCGCGAGACGGGCCCGAAAGGCAGCGGCGGCGUCGACCCGAUGAGCCCUAGCGUAUGGGGACUUUUGUCACACGUUUGCGGUGCGGACCGGCGCCUGCUUGACUUUUCUGAUUAUCCAGGUUGACCUCGGAUCAGGUAGGGAUACCCGCUGAACUUAAGC